This 567-nucleotide ribosomal RNA is filed under the name Exidiopsis sp. FO 46291. RNAcentral describes it as "eukaryotic LSU rRNA". It matches the Rfam family "Eukaryotic large subunit ribosomal RNA", at positions 73 to 626 of the family's 3401-position model. The record is from RNAcentral. Lineage: Eukaryota; Fungi; Basidiomycota; Agaricomycetes; Auriculariales; Exidiaceae.
GAUUCCCCUAGUAACGGCGAGUGAAGAGGGAAGAGCUCAAAUUUGAAAUCUGGCGGUCUAAGGCCGUCCGAGUUGUAAUCUAGAGAGGDGUUUUCCGUGCCGGACCGUGUACAAGUCCCUUGGAACAGGGCGUCAUAGAGGGUGAGGAUCCCGUCCAUGACACGGACUCCCGGUGCUCUGUGAUACACCUUCAAAGAGUCGAGUUGUUUGGGAAUGCAGCUCAAAAUGGGUGGUAAAUUCCAUCUAAAGCUAAAUACAGGCGAGAGACCGAUAGCGAACAAGUACCGUGAGGGAAAGAUGAAAAGAACUUUGGAAAGAGAGUUAAACAGUACGUGAAAUUGUUGAAAGGGAAACGCUUGAAGUCAGUCGCGUCCGCCGGGACUCAGCCUUGCUUUUGCUUGGUGCACUUCCCGGUGGAUGGGCCAGCAUCGAUUUUGGUCGCCGGAAAAGGGCGGGAGGAAUGUGGCAGCUUGCUGUGUUAUAGCCUCUCGUCGUACACGGUGAUUGGGAUCGAGGACUGCAGCACGCCUUUGGUCGGGGUUCGCCCACGCCACGUGCUUAGGAUGC